Long non-coding RNA from Aethalodelphis obliquidens (Pacific white-sided dolphin), 4143 nucleotides. RefSeq lists it as uncharacterized. The record is from RefSeq and is a predicted model, not a curated record. The transcript has 3 exons. NCBI's taxonomy places the organism in Eukaryota, Metazoa, Chordata, Mammalia, Artiodactyla, Delphinidae.
CCCUUUAACAAGUUUGAGAUCUCAGUGCUUUGGGGGUUUCUUCCUUGGGGCCCUAUCUUAGUCACAGGGUAGUGGUUUUUCCUUACAUUUGCUAUUCCUAUGUUCUUUAGAGUUUCUUUACUUUUUACUAGCCAAUCCCUCGUUCUUCCAAACCCCUGUUUAGUUAGUAAUUCUUCAUAUUAAACUUUCCUUGCUCAAAUUACCACAUGGUUUCUCUCUCCUGAUUGGACCCAGACUGAUACAGGAUGAUACCACUGAUAUCUUUUCCAGAUAAUGGAAAAGAAUGACUCUCCCAGAGGGUAAGACCAGUGGCCAUGAGAGCAGCAGACAAACAAGUUCUUUCUAGAGAUUCCAGAGAUCAGAAUCAGAGCCUAACCAAAGAGUUUACUUUCUUGUCUGGGAAGGAAGACUUCUUAGUUCCUGCCAAACAGGAAUAUCACAGUGAUUACUAUGUUUCCCACUUGUCAUUUUCAGAAUGGUAGUUUUUACUGCAGCUCUUUAUCCUGUAUCAAGAUGUAUGGUAGUGCAACUCGUGUAUUAGAUAAUGAACUGCUGGUCCUUGAAGAUCCACCUUUAGAUCAGCUGGAGAGAAAUAAACAUCACUAGGCAACCCUAGAUUUUGAACUGGGAACAAUAACUAGAUGCACUUGAAGUUGCAUUCCUUGGGGAGGCUCUGUGUUUUCUGCGUGGGAAGAUUGGUGCAUGUGAAUAUGUGGGAGCUAGAGGCCGAGGACAGAAACUUCUGUUUUCCAGGAUUCUUUAUCCAUUUUCCUUUUAAUAAUAUAACUCCUUGAAUUUUUGGUGAGUACCCCAGCCAGAGACUCUAUACUCGCAUUCUCCUUUGUAGGUAUGUAAGACUGGGUUCUUGACGAUGAAGUAUGAAGAGAAGUGAUACAUGUAACAGUCUUGCUCUUAACACAAGUGGUGAUGCUGCCUGUCUUCAUCAUUAUAUUUGGUAGUUUGAGAUGGAGAAGAGCACGUUUUUUAAAGGUGAGCACAAUAAUGUGUAUCCCAGCCUCCAUGCUCUUAGUACGGUGCAAUUUUGACAUGUCUGUUGAGAUGUGGAGAGGGUCUGUGUUUUCUCGCUUUGAAUCUGGGAGAGCCUGUGACCGUGGGAAAACUGACACUGUGAGUUCUGAGGCUGCCUCCUGGUAGGGGUACAGCUUCUGCCUGGUCUUCUUGAGACACUUGCCCUUGGAACCAAACCAGUAUACUUUGAGGAAGGUAAUUACCCAUGGGAAGAAUCCAUGUGUCAGUAUCCCAGCCACCAUCUCAGCUGAAAGUCAGUGUCAACCAAAUAUGGGUACCUGAGUCCUCAGAUGAUUCCAGCCAUCAGCCUGUAAGCCAUUUCAGCUAACUCCAAGAGGGGCAAAGAUGGCAUUUCCCCACCAAGCCCUUGCUAAACUGCAGAGCAAAAUAAACAUUAUUGUUUUAAGCCGCUACGUUUUGGAGUGGUUUGUGACUCAACAGUAGAUAAAACAGAACAUAGGGUGAUUAAACUUACAAUUUAGUCAAAUGUUGCCAGAUAUGAUACAUCACAUGGACAGGAAAAACGUGCUUCUCAAGAGAUCCUGGACAUACCAUUUUACUUAGUAGCUAGAUUUGAUUUUGUGUUCUCUGCCUCUGGGGAAGUGUAAGUGCAUUUUCAGUUGUAGAUGGGAUAAUUGUAUUUACUCUAUUACAUAGAGGAAAUGUGGGAAUUAUUUGUGUACGUCUAAAAUGAUGUUAUAAGCGGGACUUUCCUGUCUCCGUUUUGACAAAGGUACCAGUAAUCAGUGUCAGGUUAACUGAGAGGAGGACGGAUCUCAACUUCAUAUUGAUUUAUUCAACGUGGAGUGCUUAUAAUGAACCACUUGUUAUUCUAAGUGCUGGAGAUAGAGCAGUGAACAAAGCAGUUAAAAUUGUCUGCCCGCAAGAAGCAGACGUAUGCAGAAUUAGAAAGGAAAUGCCUCUAAAGACCUGUUCCUUAAGGAGUAUCAAAAGGGGUCAAGGUAAAGUGGAGUUUGGGUAAGAGACUUUACUGAAGAGUUGUUGGCAUGUGUACUGGUCAGGAGAGACCAAGUUAUGUUGUGGUUUUGCACAGAUGAGCCAGAUGUCAGACAUGUGUAGGAUAUCAUGGAUCUGUUGUGUAAGGGCCAGAAAACCUCAGCAGGAAAAGGAGGAAGAUGAACACAUGCAGGAAUAAGAGUGUGGAGAGAAUGGUAGAAGACCAUCUGGAGGUGAAAUUCAUCUGACCACCUGGGUCAAGGUCGCUGUGGGAGAGAGAGAUCCUGCAGAGAAGGGGUGGGGGCCAAGAGCAGAAGGACACUCUCCUCUGUCCCCCCACUACCCUCCACUGCCACUUCCCAUGACAUGUCUCCAGAGAAAGCAGGUCCCAGUUUAGGAUAAAAAGAAUGUUUGAUACUGAAUAAAAUUUAAAAUUUUGUUUCAUAAUUUGUACUGGGCAUUCUACUUUUUAAAUUGAAACUGUGCUUACCACUACCAGAAACUGAAGAACUUUUAUUUUCUGUGAGUGAGUGACCACAAAAACCAUGAAUCUGCUCAAGUAUUCUUUCGCCAUAAGGAAAGAUUACCUGAACUGAAUAAAUUUUGAAACCAAGUCUGAAGAAUUUUCUCCAGUGCUGGACCAUCCAUGAAGGUGUCUGCUUUCAGUAUCCCUUUUCCAGAGUGGCAACUUGUGUCUAAAGAUAAGCUAAGCGACUUUUCAUCAGUAUCUACAAUGUCACUUCAAGGCCUCCAAUCCAAGGAUUUACCUUAUUCCUGUGACUGAAAAUAUCUGUCAAAUGACCCCAAAUCCAUGAAUCAACUCUUCCCCAUCAAACUGACCUGGAAUUUGGGUUGUUUUUCUCCACCUAACAGUAGAACUCCUGCAAAAGGUUUAUUUAAAUAUGUGAAGACUUGUCUUUUGGAAAUUGGCACAUAUAUUAUAUUUCUUGUUACGACAAAACCUCUUGAAAGGUAGUAAUUCAAGGCCCCAUUUAGCUGUUGACAUGCCAACUUGUGAUCUAGUGUUCCACUGACAUGUGGUACUUCCUUCUUCAUUCACCCACAAAACCAGACGAGUUCCAACGCCCUGGGGGCUCAUCUGUGCUUGGAGUAGCAGGACAUUUCUUCCAGCUGAAAUUUUCUUUGGCAAAGUCAUGUCUUGAAGAUACUGAUACCACCAAAUGGGUAAUUCUUUUUUGAUGAUAUCAGUGGAAACACCAUGGACAAAAAACAGGAGCUGAUUGCACUGACAUUUAAUUGUUUCAUCCGAUGGUAAGCUGAAGGGAAAAAAUAACAGUAACUUACAUGAAUUUAAAUUUAACUGAUGCAAAUGUUAGAAUUUGUUGUGAUGAUGCUUAAAUACAUGCACACAAGUACUUGACUGAAUUUGACUAAACCAUUUAAAUAACAUUUAAUCUAAUAACUGGUCAUAAGAUGACAAUUGUUUUAAACCAGAUACUUUGAAAGAUAGUAUAAUUUUUUUCUUUUAGUUUCUAUCAGCAGGAAUUUUUUUAUAUUCAUGUAAAUAUAAGAGGAUGUCCAAUUUGUUUGAGAUAUAAGGCAAAUAUGCGUCCAAGAUACUAAAAUGGUAAACAUCAUUUUGGAAUGGUUGCUAAUUGUACUUAGCUAAAUAUUAAAUUGUCAGACUUUCAGAACAAAUAUUACUCUUGAACAUGGGCCAUGCUUUUGAGUUUAUAAAUAUUAGUGUUCAAUCAACUGUUACAUCUACAAUAGUACAUAUCUUUACUACUGACUCUAGUAGAGUAAAUAUCUUUAAUUUUUUCUUAAUGAUUAAAUUAGUGUGUUAUUCAUGUUACUUAUAUACUAGAGCAUAAUAUUUAAGAAAAUUAGUUGUCUAACAGCAUCAGCAUAUAUGAAGGACUUGGGUGAUACAUAAAUAAUGUCUUCUGAUCACAUUUAUCCUUUAAUAAUAAUAAUAAUGAUAAUAAUAUCUCUUCAGAAUCUUUUCUAAUUUCGGCUUAAGUGUCAUGUUCUCAAAUUUACACCAGAUCAUUACAAAAAAUAACUGCCUGAAAACUUGCUUUUGCAUUUGUUAUAUUAAACAUUUUGUUAAUACAUUGUCUUUCCUGAAGCUUAAUAUACCAGUUGAAACAAGUACUGAGAAAAGAGAAGGAAAGAAAAGCAAGAAGGAAGAAA